RNAcentral lists this long non-coding RNA (7697 nucleotides) under Lactuca sativa (garden lettuce). Its description in RNAcentral is "long non-coding RNA (LSAT_LNC001321)". The record is from RNAcentral. Lineage: Eukaryota; Viridiplantae; Streptophyta; Magnoliopsida; Asterales; Asteraceae.
CACAUGAAGGCACUACACAUAUUAGACUUAGUUGCACAUGAAGGCACUACACAUAUUAGACUUAGUAACUAGAAGCUAAGUUAUAACCUACUAGAAACUUGGAAACAAUUAGAAACAAUGGAUAAUGUGCUUAGAUUUCACAUUGAUAUGUGAAUUCUACGACUACUUAACUUUAGUGACUAUCUAUAUUAGGGUCACUCUUUGACUUGAACACCAUUUCAUGAAUCAUAUACACACAUCAUGCACUUGACCUAGUGGUAGAAAUUAGGUCAAAGUCACAUAGAAACUUAAGUCAAAGUUGAAGAGUAGGACUAGUAUACUUGAUUCCUCAAUUUCGCUUGAAUCUCAGAAUCACUACAUAGAAUGCAAUUAAACCGAUAAAAAAAAAUAUUACAAACAUUAUUUCUAACUUGAAUAAGAGUUAUGAAACUCUAAAAUAGUUUGAAGUCUCAAAAUUUAAUUAAUUUUGAUAUCCAAAGACUUACAAACUCUCAAAAACCCUAAAUGCCCUAAGAACUCAAAUUUAUAAACUUUAACACCUAACACCUAAAAAUCCAUAAAUUUGGUAUGGACUAUAUAAUAUCAAUUUAAAAUAACUCAAUUUAGUAAAAUAUAACCAAGGAAAAAAAAUUUAAGUCAUUAGUAUUUAACCUUAUUUUCUAAGCCAAAAAUCAAGGUUUUGUGAAGGAAAAUUUAGAAUAAGGUGCAUGUUUUAUAAAAACUUGAUAUUUUUAUAAAAUAAAGUUAUAUUUUAUAAAAUUUAAAAGAGGGAGACCCUCUCUUCAUUAAAAAGUCGGANUUAAGAGAGGGAGACCCUCUCUCCACUCCAAAGUCGGACUCCCCUCUCCCAAGACCCUCCUCCUCUUCCCAAUACACCAUUUUCCCAAGUCAUUAAUCAAUAUCAAUCACCCACUCCAUCUCUUUCUCUCUCAUUAAAUUUCAUCGAUUUAUGUUGCUGUUUAGUAUGAUUUUCGAUUUUUUUUGUUUGGGUAAAAUAAAUCACAAAACCACUUUAGGGAGUGUGAAAAUUGCAUCUAACAAUUGUCGCAGCUCUUACCUGUGGUGAGAGACGCAGAAAAAUAAUUUCAGAAUUUUUCAUCAUGCCUUCCUAUUUUUCCCAAUUUUUGGUAUUUAUAAUGGCCUAAAAAUAGGAAAAAUAGUUCUGAUCAUACAAAAUUCAUGAAAUUUUACCAGAACAUCGUGUUGUACAGUAGGAGGUUACAUAAAAAUUUUGAUGAUUUUUCUCUACUGUAUACUAUUUUUCGCCUAUUUUCUAAGGUUAAAUACACUUAAAUACCCUUAAAUACACAUAAAUACCCAAAACAGGAUUAUACAAUAUGAAAACCACUUUUGGUAUUUUUCCCAGAUUACUUAGACUGUAAAUGAUGUUACAAAAAAUUUUGGUAAUUUAUUUUAACUGUUUAUUAUUUAUUCUUCAAUUAAUGAUUAUUUAAGGGGAUAAAACAAGGAAAAAUAAAAAUACCCACUUUAAAAUAUCUUUUAUAUUUUUCCCAGCCUAGCUAUGUAUAAUAACAGUUAAAUAAAAAGUUUGGGUUAUUUUGGAAACUUUUUUCUAUUUAUUUCAAUUUUUAUUAUAAUAAAUGCACAAAAAUCAUAACAAUUGGUUAAACAGUUUAGAAACCCAUUUUUAUAUUUUUCACAGAUUAAUUAUGCGUAAUGACAUUACUAUAAAAAGUUUGGGGGAUUUUCUUAACUGAUUUCUGUUUUUCAUGAAUUUUUAUAUAUUUAGAGAAUUAAAUAUAUGAAAAAUGGUUAUGCAUAUCCAUAAUCCAUGAAAAAUUAUCUAGAAGUCUUUUAACACAUUUCUAACCAAAAUCUGAAGUUUGGUAAUUUUUAUUAACUGUUUAGUAUUUUUCAAGAUUUUAUGGUUAUUCAAGAAACUAAAGUGGUGAAAAAUAGUUAGACAAAUCAAAAAUUCAAGAAAAUUUAUCUUGAGGUCUUUGACUUCAAUUAAAACUAAAAUGAAAAGUUUGGGAAAUUUUAGAACUAAAUUGAUUUAGUUUGGAAUAUUUAAUCAUUGGAACACCUCUAAAAUGUUAAAUACUAAUAUUUCAAUAAUGGAGAUUUUCCGCUUAAAUUGUUAUAUAACAAUUGAUUCUUUGAAACUUAUCCACAGAAAAAUAUUUAUAAUUUAUCAAUAUUCAAUUUUGACUCAGUAUUGGCAUAAUUCUAUUGUAGUAGUAAGUAUAUUAGUGUUACAUUUCGAUUAGAGACUCACUAGUGAAUACCAAUAUUGUAGGAAUCAGUAGUGGUACACGUGGAACAUUGUCAAGGCACCAUUUGCAUCAUCUCAAUGUAUUGUGAGUAUUCACCAAUCCCCUAUUUUCGAUUUUUAAAUGUUUUGGGGUGGAAAAGCAUGUCCUAAACUAUUUAUAUUCGUUGUAUUUAUUUAACUCGUUUAAACUUGGUUGCUAUGUUUAGCAUAUUGUGAGUAUUCACGCACUCCCCUAUUUUCAGUUUUUAUGUUUUGGGGUGGAAAAGCAUGUCCAGAAAAACUAUUGUUUGCAUGAUGUAUUUAAAUUGACUAUUAUCAAACAUGAUUGCCAUUGUAUUGCUAUGUUUCUUUAUGUAUGUCUAUGCAACACAGAACAUGAAAACUUAUUGUACUAAGGCCCUUCCCUUAUCUCUAACCAUUAACUCUUUGAGCCAAUGGUCAUUAUGGAUAGCGCUAUUAGGAAUUGACAACUCCUCACUCGCCCUAUUGCUGGAGUGCAUGAUACCAUAUUCAUCUAUGGAACGAUAAGCAUAGAUCUCGAUAGGGCUUCAGUCAUAGGUUUGGUUGAGACUCAUUGUUUGCUCAUAUACAUACAAACUCGUUUCUCGUUAUAGCAAUAAACUUGUAUUCAUUAAUAGCAAUCAACUUUGUUUCUCAUUAUAGCAAUGAACUCUAUUUCUCAUUACAACAACGGAUUUUUACUAGUGGAAACUUGUAUACAUGUUUUAGCAAUGAAAUUGUUUGCUCCUUGUAGCAACGAAAUUGACAGCUCAUUUUAGCAAUGAAACUUGUUUACUCGUUUGAGUAACGAACUUUAUCUUCCAUGAGAAUAUGAAUGUUGCAUCUUAUUCGGGCAAUAUACUUUAUCUCUCAUGAUGACAAAGAACUUUGCUUUUACAAACUUAUUUACUCAUUUUAACAAUAUACUUGUAUUAUUGGAAACUUUUAUCAAAACUUUGAUUUCAACCCAUGGAACCAAGAUUAUUUUGUUUAUUUGUGAGUACUCACCAACUAUUUUUAUAGUUGACGCUCGUUUUACAUGCUUUUUCAGGAAUUAUCGAGUAAGUGGCACUUAGGGACACUUCACUUUUAGGAGCAUUCGCAUGUGUUGUAUUUCUAUUUUCAUUGUAAUUUCUUGUAAAAGUUGUUCAAACCCAUUGUAAAUUUGUAAUGAUUUUUAAUACUAUGGUUGGUGUUGUCUUUUAACUUUUGCUAUGAAACCCUUUAUACUGCCACGCCUCGUGUUUCCGCUUUAGCGGGGUGUGACAGUAAAUGGUAUCAGAGCCGAAGGUUAUAGAGAAUACCGGUUUUCCUUUGGAAAACCACAACUAUAGCCAAAAUUUUCAAAACGUUUUUAAAAUACUGAACAUACUAAUGGUAUAACUAAUUCCAGUACGCAUUAUUGGACUUUAAUUAAGUAUAGCCUGGCCAACUAUGCUUAAUUAAGGAACGUUAACGCGAGGCUGGAAACGGUUAUAGUAGAAUUAUGUUCAAAACAAUUUUCAACUUAAACUUUUGAAAAACAAAAAUUUUCGGUGUGCGUACGGGCAUUGCAUAUUAUAGGCAUUCAUCUAGGUACACUUAGAAACUAAGUGCACUUUUACCAUAAUGCCUUUAUUUAGAAAUAUUCUUAUCCCUUAUCAUGUGCUAGGUUAACCACUUAGGUUAUAUCACUAGCCACUCUAGGAGCAAUGCACUUAGUGUUGAGAAUGAGUAUUCCUUGGUAACUAUUGACUUUAGAUGUAAGGUUAGUAGCUAGAUAUACACUAGUAAUAAUCAUAAGUCAAAACCUAUGCCAAUUAUUCCUCAAUACCUCUUCAUUGUCCUCGUACUAGAGUUACAACUAUGAAAAAGUGUUUCGAUAUCGACACGAAUGAUAAUCGGAGCAUCACAUAAGGUGGUAGAUGAGUCUCCACUAAAUAAUCACUUGGAUACCAUUGGCGGGCAUUCCAGAUUCAACUCACGAGGAAAUACGGAGGUUUAACCCAUACGUGAGACUUUAUUACUACGCUACGAUUUAACUCUAGGUUGUUUCCACCUUGAGCUUAAAACUUAACAUAGGAUAUCCCUUUGACCUUUAUAAAAGGUCAUAGACUGCAUUGGCACCAUAAAACGUUUUGCUAACAAUUUUUCUUGUCCUUUAUCUUGGGGAAAAAGACAUUGGUACUCGCCUUAUACUCGCCUUAAUAUUUAGGUACAAUUAGCUACACUAACGUACCUAUUCAUUACUUCUUAAUCUUCAAUCAAAAAGUUAUUUCGCUUCAUAGGUUUUAUUUAUCAUCGAUAAAAUAUUUUAUAACCACUUCAUUCAACUUAUUAGAUUUUUCCUAACAAUGUAAGCCAUAUUCUCGCUAAAAAUCUUUUGACAACUUGCUUUAACUUAAAACUUUUAUUCAAAACUCAAUUUAACCAAUAUUGUUUUUAAUCAUGCUAUUACAAUCUCAUUUCAAAUCCAUUUCAAUGGAUAGAUGUGCUUUUGAGGGCACAUAAACCAUUUUAAACAUUGCUUACCAUUUUGACUCGUUUUCAAAAAUCUAGAAACAUUUUCUUUUAUAAUCGUGUUUAAAAUCUUUGCUACAAAACAUAGACCUAUGACAUUGAAGUUCAUUUUAUGUGUAAAAGCUUCAUUGAAUCUUCAAAACACUUUUGUUUGACAUUUUUAACAUUUUUCUCAUUUAGACAUUGUAAUUUACUUUAAUGUGUUUCUCGAAACCCAACGUGAUGUUUAUGCAAAUUUCGACUUCAAACAUAUUUAUAAAACAUCUCUAAUGCUUGUAUUUCAAAACACACAUUAUUUGUGUACUUUGCCUUAAUAUAGUUUUAUAAAGUAUGAAGUUUUUAAAAAUUAUAGCAUUUGAAAACUUAGUGUUCACUUUUAAAUUCCCAGUGAUGCACUUUCGACAACACGAAAUUAUUGUUUUAAAUAUACCGAGUUUUACCUUAUCUAUUUUUACCAUUGUUGGACUCAAGCCUAAAAGGGUCAAGACUGUCAGAUUUUCAAUUACCAGUUGUAGUGCUUCUUCUUUUUUUUACAAUUGGAGUUUAACUUAAUAGAUAACUUGUGAAUUUUUAGCAAUCCUUAGCAAACACUUUAAAACUCGAAUAUGUUCAUUUAACCAUCAAUAUACAUCAAAUAUUGAAGUUUGAAAUAUAUCUCAACCUGGUUUUAAAUCUACCUAUAGGUAUUGUUCUUAUAAUUUUAACGAUAACAAUCAUUGUCGCCGCUACCUUCCUUUUUCUUUUCCCUGAACUUGGUUUCUCGCUCUCCUUUUGAUUUUAGAUCUUGCACGCUAUAAUAUUAACAUAAUACAUUGUCUGACUAUGUUUCUUUGUAUUUUGCUUCUCUUAGUACAAUGUCCGUGCACAUAUAGACUAGAAGUCUACCCUUUCGUUUUGAGCGAUUAAUACAUGUAGUCUUGAAAAAUAAUUUUAAUUUAGUCAGCUUUGACAUAUUCAAAUAUGUCAUUUAUCAUAUACUUUUUAUUUGUAUUUUGAAAUCUACUCUUAAACAAGUAAUCCUUAUUUACAUUUACUCUUUCAUUUUAAAGUCGGAAACUUGAUUUAAAAUGCAAUUUUCAUUGAAUUUUUCAUUAUAAUUAAUGCACAAGAUGAAUGCUCUUAUGCUUCUCAUUUUUCUAUAUUUGGAAAUUAUAUGUGAAGGAUAUGUUUCCUUAUGAUUUUCUUUUCUUUCAAUACAUCAAAAGUUUUGAAUUUUAUGAUUAUCUAUUCUCUAAAUGAUUGUUUUCGUAGAACCACUAAACUAAGAAUGCACUAUUUCCAAAGAUCAACAUUUUUACACAUUUCUUAAAAUAGCAUUUUACUUUGCAAUUUUCAGUGAGUUCCUAAACUCUCAAACUUGUUAUCAUAAGUAUUCGGACUCCUCGUAAACUUGAAUUUGUCCUGACUUAGACAAUUGGAUAAUUUCUCAAAAGUUUAAUAUGAAUAUUUCUAUAUAUAUUCCCUCAUUGAUGACUUAAACCUUUAACCUUAAUUAAUCUUUAUAUUAUUUCACUACUUUGUUGGAUCGCCACACAUGUAUCUUCAUUAUCUUAGAAUUAUUAAAUAUUUUGACAAUAGUGAGAUUAAUUAUCAUUUCUAAAAACACAUUUUGAUAAUAGUUAGAUUUUUAUCACUUCUAAGCACUUAAAAUGCUAUAUACACAAUGUGAUUUAAUUUAUCAUAAACUUUCACCGCCUUCAUUAGAAACAGUGACUCUCUAAUUAUAUAUACUCUUCGAAUAUAGUUCUAUUAUUGUAAGAGUAACCGUAGUAGUAAUUACAGCCUCGGAGAUCCUCAAUCAUUUCGUAAUUUAUUUUGUAGACGACACUUAAAUGGCCUUUACAUUUGAGAUGUACUAAAACUUCGUUGCCUACCUUACUACGUAUUUUUAGGAACUUACCCUCGAUCGCUUCCCUUUCAUUCGUGCUACCCCUUCUUAUUUCAAAAUAUAUCUUUUCCAGAGGUAAUAGCUAACCCAUAAGUGAACAAAUUGUUCCUAAUCUCUUCUUUAUUAGGUGGCGAAUUUACACUUAGUGCUAAUUUAGAAUGCGGCUUAAGCAUCAAUGCGGAUUUAACACUCAGUGCAGUUGGUGAUUCAGCAAAACUUAUACCGCUCUCUUAAUUCAGAUAAUAUCUAACUAGAUGAUCUUUUUCAACUAGGUCACCAUGGUUGGAUCAUGAUUUCCAUGAUCCUAAUUUCUCGCAAUCUAGACUGUAGAACUCGAAUUAGGGAAACAUUAAUUUGAUUAUAGCUAAAGAGUUGGGCCCUUCCCUUGAUGAAUUAACCCAAAAUAAUCAAAGAGCUCUUCAAGUCACCACCUCUCCAAUUAUACAAUUGUAUUCGGCUGAGUUCUAAUAGAAUGUGUCACGAAUUGAAUUUCGGGACGAAAUUCUUUCAACCGGGGGAGACUGUGACAACCGUCAAAAUUCGAGUCGGUUCUAGAUUUGACUAGACUUAGUUGCACAUAUAGGCACUACACACACUAGACUUAGUAACUGGAAGCUAAGUUAUAACCUACUAGAAACCUGGAAACAAUUAGAAUCAAUGGAUAGUGUACUUAGAUUUCACAUUGAUAUGUGAAUUCUACAUCUACUGAGCUGUAGUGACUAUCCAUAUUUGGGUCACUCUUUGACUCGAACAACAUUUCAUGAAUCAUAUACACACAUCAUGCACUUGACCUAGUGGUAGAAAUUAGGUCAAAGUCACAUAGAAACUUAAGUCAAAGUUGAAGAGUAGGACUAGUAUACUUGAUUCCUCAAUUUCGCUUGAAUCUCGGAAUCACUACAUAGAAUGCCAAUAAACCGAUAAAAAAAUAUUACAAACAUUAUUUCUAACUUGAAUAAGAGUUAUGAAACUCUAAAAUAGUUUGAAGUCUCAAAAUUUAAUUAAUUUUGAUAUCCAAAGACUUACAAACUCUCAAAAACCCUAAAUGCCCUAAAAACUCAAAUUUAUAAACUUUAA